Oncorhynchus keta (chum salmon) is the source of this 2034-nucleotide RNA transcript. RefSeq lists it as uncharacterized. The record is from RefSeq and is a predicted model, not a curated record. Lineage: Eukaryota; Metazoa; Chordata; Actinopteri; Salmoniformes; Salmonidae. The transcript is spliced from 2 exons.
UGACUAACACCUGCCUCUGAUUGAGAACCACAUCAGGCCAAACAUAGAAAUAGACAAACUAGACAUGUAACAUAGAAUGCCCACUCAGAUCACACCCUGACCAAACAAAACAUAGAAACAUACAAAGCAAACUAUGGUCAGCGUGUGACAAUGUGUAUGAGGUGUAUACUUUUGUUUCAAAGUAUAUUUGUUUAAGACUAACAAGAAACACUGUGCGACCCUGAUUUAGCCCACUGCAAUAAAAGGUUGUCAUGUUUUUGAGGAACUAGUACAUGUCUAGUUACUCUAAGUGGGCUGUACUUGUACUCUUAAUCAAGUAAUUUCACAAGGAAGGAACUUACUUUUUACUGGGUUAAUUUUACCAAAUCACUUCAGUGACAUAGAUAUGUAUUAUGAUAUAUUAUGUCACAGGGCUUGACAUACAGGGCUGCCCACUGACCCAGGGAGAUUUACGAAUCCCUCCAGGCCAGUCAAUCAUCCACAUCAGUGACCCAGUUGGACCGUAAUGCUGUUUUAAAUCUAGGCUUCAUAAUUGAUGAAAAAACAGAUGGCUUCCCGAAGCUGUUAGUUCGUUAUGCCGAUUAUUUAGGCUAUCACACACACGCAGCACAGCCUGAGGGGAUUAGGCUAUCAUCUGGCAGGCAGCAAGAGAGUGCAACUCUUAAUAACUGGUUGUCCGUUCACAAAAGCUCACAAAAGAACGACAGUGGUCGGGAAGGUAGGAAAGACUUUUCAAUUGAUGAUAUCUAACAGUAAAUUAUGAUUUGAUGGUGAUUCGUAUCAAUCAUGUCAGCAUUUAUUUUGCAAACUCUGCCAUCAUAUGUAGGCUACGUCACUCUACAUUGUAGCUUUGGCUACAGAAACACUACUAGUAGAGGGAGACAAGAUGGCAUCGCUGUGAGAGGGACUGUUUUCUCGCUUGUCCAAGCAACUUCGAGGGUUAGGUGUUUAACAGUCUAAUAUUGGCUAUCAAUGUGGCGAGAAACUAACAAUAACUUGUUUUAACUACAUAGGACAAGUUUGGAGUUCAUUUUGGUCAAGUUGAAUGCGAAGAACUUGGUAGAAGAUGGAAUAUCCAAGUCUCACUGUCACGUCUACUCCCGCUCCUCCCCUCCGGUGUUCUACGUCGCAGGUCGGUGGUUCCUGGUCCCCCAUCGACUUGGGAAACGAAGAUCUGAUGGACCCCCUCGCAAUGUCAUCCUGCGCUUCACUAUGCGCCACCACAGGGACAUCAUCUGGAAAAUGGCCAAGGGCAACAAGUUUCUGGACGAGAAGAAGCUCAGCAUCAAAGAGGCUCUGAUACCGCAGGAUCGGACAGCCAAGGAGAAACUGUGGCCGCUUAUAUAGAAGGCACGACAAGAGGGAAAGCAGGCUGGGUUCAAGGGCCAAAACGCGUUCUUCGAAGGAAGAAAGAUCACUUGAACUGUGAGUACUGCCAAGAGUACAUUUACUGUACUACCGUGGGUAAAUUUACAGUUUGAAAUACAAUUUAUGAACACUUGCCAACAAAAAAAUGGAAAAAAGGGAUUUGUUAUCCUGUUAACCACCGCUACAUCAGCUGAGCAUUGUUGGGCAAUGUCAAGGUUCACUGUUUUAUUGUUCACAUUACUACAUAUGUUAUAUAGUUUGUGUCUUUCUUUUUUUAAUGCUGGAGUUUGUAUUCAACUCACUCAAUAUCGUUAGUCUGAAUGCUAGGGGUUUGAGAGAUCUUACGAAAAGAAAAGUUAUUUUUACAUUGCAGUAACUUUCACGCCCUGACCUUAGAGCCUUUUAAUGUCUAUAUUUGGUUUGGUCAGGGUGUGAUUUGGGGUGGGCAUUAUAUGUUCUGUUGUCUAUGUUUUUGUAUUUCUAUGGUUCUCAAUCAGGGACAGCUGUCUAUCGUUGUCUCUGAUUGGGAAUCAUACUUAGGCAGCCUUUUCCCCUUUUGUUAUUGUGGGAAGUUGACUUUUGUUCAUAGCCCUGUGAGGUUCACAGUAGUUUCUUCGUUUGUUGUUUUGUUGGCGUCCUUUUAAAUAAAAGGAAAAUGUACGCUCA